GGAGGUAAAGAAAGAGAGAUGAAUUAGUUAGUAGAUGGAAGCAAGGAGGAUUUUAGAUGAGUGGUGGUGGUGGUGAGAAGACGAAUCAGAGAAUUGUCUGCAUCCCUAUUAGCAUUGAAUUUCCAUGAAGUAUACAGAGGUUGAGCUGAUUGAAUCAGUGCCAAAUUAUUGAUGGUAGGGUGAUUGGUCUUAUAUAUGCAGACCCCAAAAAUGGAUGUCUCUAGUUAUUGUUCACUCUUCUCAGAUAGGUCUGGACUACGUACUGUGCUUGCCACAAUGAGGGAUUGAGAGAGAGAGAGAGAGAGAUCAUGGGCUCAGCUGCUUCAAACUUUCUGUGAUUGAAUAGCUGUUUAGUUACUUUGAUUUUUCAGCUUGCAGUUUCCAUUUGCAUAUACACCCUUUUUUCUUCUUAGAAAAAGUAGACCUCAUGCAUUAUGUCUUUAUGCUUUUGGAUUCACUCCCGCUUCUUUCUCCUAUUACUUUCACCAGAAUGCUACCAGAUGCCCUCACUUCUUCUUCAUUCUAGCUUACCUUCAUUCCCAACCGGGAACAAACCUUAUAAUAUUAAAUAAUAUUUCUUUUUGGAACCGUAUCUUCAAACAUGAAACACCAGCUAAUCUGUAGCCUCGUUGCUCUUGUUUUUUUUCUCUCUAUAAAGUUCCAUACCAACUACAAAUAACUAAAGUGGCCUCAAUUUUGCAGACAAAUAACUAAACUGGACUAAACAUAGUAACAAGACUAAACCAUAUCUAUUUUAUAAAGACCGGUUGCUGUGAGGGCAUCUUUUCUUUCCUUCCUAUUUUACACCCUCUGCAUUGAUUUCGCUGCCUAUACAAUGCACCACUUCAAAUCUUUACACUCAAAUUAGUACUAUGACCAAUUUCGAAAAGUAGCCUUAAGUGGUAUGCUCUAAGUAAGCUACACAUAGCAUAAUCAGGCACAGGCCCCAAGGGCACACUAACCAACACUGUUAGUGUUACCCUCCUUCCCAUCCUAUAUGCCCC
RNAcentral lists this long non-coding RNA (1004 nucleotides) under Vigna radiata. RNAcentral's name for it is "long non-coding RNA (VRAD_LNC009387)". Lineage: Eukaryota; Viridiplantae; Streptophyta; Magnoliopsida; Fabales; Fabaceae. The record is from RNAcentral.